Corvus hawaiiensis (hawaiian crow) is the source of this 1163-nucleotide long non-coding RNA. RefSeq lists it as uncharacterized. Lineage: Eukaryota; Metazoa; Chordata; Aves; Passeriformes; Corvidae. The record is from RefSeq and is a predicted model, not a curated record. The transcript is spliced from 2 exons.
AAUCAACAUUACCCAUGUAAACCUCUGCAGAGAGGUUUCUGCACUCAGCUGCCAUCCUCCAGCUGCGUCAGAAAAGAAGGCUCAAGGCUCCCCUGGGGUUCAAGCAGCUGUGGCAGUCGAGGAUCAGAGAGAGUGUAAGAAUCACCCAAGAAGAGAUGAUUCUCCUCCAGUGUGAAAAUCUGUCACUCAGGCCUUCACUCAAGAAAAAAGGUAGUUUCUCUCUCCAGCUCCAGUGCCCAGCUCUGAAACCCACCUAACUCUUGGAGCCUUCCAAGGCACAACACAGAGUUGCUGAUCCAGAAGAAACAGUGCUGGGAAGAUCUAGCACUCCUCCUAGCCAGAAAUACCCAGUCUGUGCUUGAAGGAACGAACUGGCUCUCAUAAAAUGUAUUAUAUGUGGCUGCUCUAUCUCUCAUGUGGCAUUUCUUUGCGUGUGUAACAAAAAAUAGAGGCGGCAGCUGUACAUUAAAGCGGGGGCUGUUCAUUAAAGCAGGUCAAAUUGCAAAUGUGAAGUUAUAGUCACAGUUUUACUUUGCAUCUGAGUAGUAAGGGAAAUUAAACAUGAAGGAGCUGCAAGUAGAACAAAAGCAAGUUCAGCCUUCCAUCUGGUACACAAAACCUUCUGGUGCAUUGGAUAUUGUGCAGAACAAUGCAGAAUUUCCCCCCUGCACAUCACAGGAUCAAUUAUUGCUCACAGCAAAGUUGCAAGUCUAGCACCCAUAUGCAAGAUGAGAAUCAAAUGGUUGGAUACCAGGAACAGGGACACCUUGCCGAGAACUUCCUUAGAUUCACUCAGUGCUUUAGAAAAGAAAAAAAAAGAAGAAAAAAAAAGGAAAAAAAAGAGGGGACUCUUGGAAGUCCUCUUCUGGGGAGGACUCAGCUUUCCAAGUGCACACAGUAUUCAUGAGCAUGACAAACACUGGUGGUUCUUUUGAUUGCACUGGCUGUAUUUUAGAGUACUGCUGUGUGGUUACUACAAGGGGUGGUCAGAGUUCACAGUGUAGGUUCUAGCAUGAAACAAAUGCAGGAUUAACAAGGUGUUGUAUUUCCCACAGCAGUGAUAUUAUGUCCCUGACAAUACUUUUCAUAUUCCCAGGAGAGAAAGCUAAAGCUGAUCCUUGCAGUCAAGCUCAUGUAGUGAUAAUAAACAGUACUUAAAAACC